GAUGACUAUUGCCUGAACCAGAAGUUGGGUAGCAUCUUGAGUCAAGUCUGGACUCCAUGUGUAAUGCUACUCAGGAUGCUGCAUGUCAACCCUGCAGAGAGGAGAGACGCAGGAACAUACAGAGUAGAGAUCACUGAGGAGGCAACAGGGAAAACAGUGGGAGAUCACACAGUACAGCUGAUUAUAGAAGCUCCCGUGUCUGAUGUGGACCUGUCAAUCAGCUGCUCAGCCAAUGGGGAGAGGAGUGUAAGGUGCUCCUCCAAUGGAGACAGUCCUCAGUUCAGCUGGUCUCUGGAUGGGAGGCCUCUGUGUGAAGCUGAUGUUGAUCUCAGUUCAGAUAACCAGACUCUCCUGAUGAGGGGGGAUGUGACUGGACAACUCACAACUCCAGACUGAUGGAGCUCUGCUCUGGUCAGUGACUUCACACCUGAGUGAUUUACAGUAAUCAUGAUUACCUCUGUAAGAUUUUGUAAAGAUUUUGCUAAUGACCUUUAAAUGCUUGAAUGGUCAAGCCCCCAGCUAUCUCUCUGACCUAUUACAUAAAUACUCCCUGUAAGAAAUCUCUGACUGCUGACUGUUCUCAAAACUAAAUGUAAAUGCUUUUGCUGCUACUACCCCCAAACUCUGGAAUAAACCCCACCCCACAUAUUA
This is a long non-coding RNA of Alosa alosa (allis shad), 651 nucleotides long. RefSeq lists it as uncharacterized. The transcript has 3 exons. NCBI's taxonomy places the organism in Eukaryota, Metazoa, Chordata, Actinopteri, Clupeiformes, Clupeidae. The record is from RefSeq and is a predicted model, not a curated record.